CAGGAAGCAGUCAGUCAGCUGUGCCUCAGGGCUCGCCGGCCCCAGGCUGGCUGUGGCAAGGGUGAUCGUCCGGCGGAGAUGGACCGAAGGCGAGGUGCAGUGGAUUCGGCUGGAAUCUUCCUCUGGCUCUGCGCCGGGCUGCAACACAAGGAACAAGGAUGGCAAGACUAGACAGCCCAUGGUGAGAACAGAGAUUUGGGAGACACCGGACCCGACCCAGCUUGGAAUGGUCCAAAAGACUUCGCUAGCAAGUUCCUCACUUCGACUCUAAGCUUAGCCACCCUGCCCAGGACCCAGGACCCAGGACCAGAGACUUGCCGGAUGCCGGAGUGACACUGGAGCAGAUUCUGAG
Molecule: long non-coding RNA, 352 nt
Organism: Ornithorhynchus anatinus (platypus)
Lineage: Eukaryota; Metazoa; Chordata; Mammalia; Monotremata; Ornithorhynchidae
Exons: 3
Source: RefSeq, a predicted model, not a curated record